Molecule: ribosomal RNA, 471 nt
Filed under: uncultured bacterium
Lineage: Bacteria
Description: SSU rRNA
Rfam family: Bacterial small subunit ribosomal RNA
Source: RNAcentral
AGGAUGAACGCUGGCGGCGUGCCUAACACAUGCAAGUCGAACGUCCUGUCUCGCAAGAGGCAGGGAGUGGCGGACGGGUGAGUACCACGUGGGUCAUCUACCGUGAGGUGAGGAAUACCGGCGAGAAAUCGCCGACAAGACCGCAUAGGCUCGAUGCAAGUCGAGCAAAGCUCUUUCGAGAGAGGGAGCGCCACACGAGGAGCCUGCGCCCGAUUAGCUAGCUGGUGGAGUAAUGGUUCACCAGGGCGACGAUCGGUAGCUGGUCUGAGAGGACGAUCAGCCACACUGGGAUUGAGAACGGCCCAGACUCCUACGGGGGGCAGCAGUGAGGAAUUUCGUCAAUGGGGGCAACCCUGAACGAGCAACGCGCGUGCAGGAGAAGGUUUCGGAUCGUAAACUGCUUUCGUCGGGAAGAGAACGGACGGUACCCGAGGAAUCAGCCCCGGCUAACUACGUGCCAGCAGCCGCGGU